RNAcentral lists this long non-coding RNA (9110 nucleotides) under Nicotiana benthamiana. RNAcentral describes it as "long non-coding RNA (NBEN_LNC016033)". Lineage: Eukaryota; Viridiplantae; Streptophyta; Magnoliopsida; Solanales; Solanaceae. The record is from RNAcentral.
UUCACUUUCUAUUACCCCUUUGCUCUUUCAAGCAAAAGCUUCAGUAUUCUUAGCCAUGACAGAAGCUUGCAUCGCCGAUUUUGAGUAAUUUCUUUGUUUCUCUUCAAAACUCGUGACUCCUCUCUCUCUCUCUCUCUCUCAUUUGCAAUGAGAUUUAGUCAACAAAAGAGGCCAAAAGAGUUUUGGCAUUUUGAUUUUCUGAGAUGGAAAGAACUGAUUUUCAGGGAUUUGUUUCGAUCUCGGAGGACUUUCUCAGACCAAGCCAAAUGAACAUUAAAUUCGCAAUGUUCGGAUUCAAACGGCUUUUUGACUCCAUUUCAAAAUCAAAAUCUGAAGAAUUUCGACUAAAGAAUCCUAGCUCUAAUCUGCCGCUAUAAAUACCUAUGGUUGGCAAUAAUUUUGAGGACGGAGGAGGACACGGUAAAAAAUAUUAAGGUUCAGCCGCCACUCUACUCCUCAAACUUUACUAACUAUGAAAAGCUUUAGUCUCAUUUUCUCAACUUAAACAACAGAAACGUUUCAUUCCCUAAUCUGAACUUUCCUAUCCGAGAACUCUCUCAAACACGGCCUAGAAUCAAACACAGCUAAUUAGCCAUUGUUAUUCUCUUUCAAAACAUCUCUGUCUCUGUUGACUUUAAGCAAAGCAGGGAGUUUUCAGUUCGCACGAUUGUAGUUCGAAUGUGUUCGUGAUAAAAGAGUAGAUUCGAGAUCGACGUCCCCAGUCUCACUGCCCAACAACAGGUAAAAUCUGACUCAUCUCGAUUUAUUUUCUUUGUUUAAAUACUCUUAGAAAAUCAUGUGCUAUGCUUUCUUUAUUUUGUCGCGUUGAUGUGUGUUAGUGACAAUUUGAUAAGGAUAGAAUCAUGUUCUACGACUUGUAUGUUUAGAUUUUUUUUUCAUUGAAUCCUCUUGGUGAAACUGUGGUAUUAGCAACUGUUUCGGAUAGUGAAGGAGCUAUUGAUGAUAUUUGAGUAUAAGCCAUGCCUUAAGACUAAUAUGCUUUAUUUUUUGUUAAAUAAAUCACAUAGAAAAUAUUGUAGUUCUCCGCUAAGCUUGGGUGCCGAAUAGUGAAAUUCUUUAUGUAGUAUAGUUUAAAUAAAAAAAUACUCUACUGUUUUGUUUGGCUCAUUGUUUCGGUUAUGUGGGAAUGCGAUUCUAGCGAACUGUGUUGAAGACUCAUUCAUACAUAGAAGUCAUGCCCUAGGCUUACACAGCUCCUAUUCAACUUGAAACAACACCCUUUUAUUUUACACUUGUAUAACUCAGUACUUAAGUUUAAGACCGAUAUUUGUGUUUCUUUCCUAGUUACUCUAAUCACAUGAACUCGUAUGUAAUCAAACCUUUCUUCUAUGUGAUAGCCAAAAGUGUCAAUCUUUGUUUAUUUCUUCGUUCUUAGUAAGUUUUUUUAAAAUUCUGUUCAAGUGAAAGAUAUCAAUUAGUAUAUAAUGCAUUGAAUAAGAAUGUGUUUAGGUUUCAAGUAAAAUAAUUGUUAAUGUAAUAGAAAUUUAUUAGACAAGAGGGGUUGCUCUGAUGGUAAGCAGCCCUACUUCCAAUCGAGAGGUUGUGAGUUCGAGUGUCCCAAGAGUAAGGUGGGAAGUUCUUGGAGGGAAGGAUGCCGGGGGUCUAUUUGGAAACAGCCUCUCUACCCAAGGUAGUGGUAAGUCUGUGUACACACUAUACUCCCCAGACCCCACUAAGUGGGACUAUACUCGGUUGUUAUUAUUGUUGUUGUUGUAAUAGAAAUUUAUUAACAUCCAGUAGAUUAAUAGUAAUAUGUAGUUUAAUUUUAUUUAUGUCGUACUUGACUAUUUAAGUACCGCUAGGAAGACACGUGAUUUGUUGAAUAUUUCUUGUCCUUUGAUGAAUUAGACAUUGAUUCAAAGGAAGUUUUGGUUUUACAUGGCCAUGAAUCAGUUGCGCUUUUGCUUUCUUCUUGCUAUACAUAGUAAAAUACCCCUCCAAUUCCUUGCUCUUUCUUUGUUUCUGCAUGAACACUGGAGCCGACGAGUUUUACUUUAAGACUCAACGACGUCGUAGCACUACAUGGAGUCAUCGUUAUUUGUUCUAUCUUAUUGUCGAACCUCAUAGCAGAAAACCAUAAAUUGAUCCUUAUAGGAUGUCAGCGGGGACUACCCGUUAUGCUACUUUAAUCUUCACUUUGCUAGUUUUCUCCCUUAAUCUUUAUAUUGCCGAUCUGUUUUUUAUACGAUUGUAGUUUUUUAUAAACUUGUGAUUAACCUUACUUAGGAUUUAUAUUCUUUACUAGCUCACUCAUAACAUGGAGAUAUAACAACUGGCUUAAAAACUUUAAAAUGUACGGCCUGACAAACGCACAUUACAAUUUAAGAAUAAUGGACAGGCAUGUAAUUAUUGGGGGUGGUAUUUAAAAAAACAAAUGACUACGGUAUUUUACAAAAAUCUAAACUUGGUUUUGUUUCUUGAGCUUUAGAUAUAUUAAAAGACAACGUGAUUUUAAAUACUAGUGUUCUAACAAAAACUGACAUUUUUGAGUCCUAGGCAAAUCAAGUUUUAUUUAAUUAUGAAUCCUAAAUACAUUUGUAUAGAAAAGAUGAAAGCAUUUUGGCCUUAAAUCAUUUUUGUGGUAAUAUAACUUUUUAUUUUAAAAUAAUCCAAUUCUGCUCCUAUGUUAUUUGAAAUCAUUCAAAUCAUUUUUUGCAAGGCUUUCGACCAUUUAAUCUCGCAAUAUAAGCUAUUACUUUAUUAAUAUAAAUCAGGCAUAUUUGUUUAACUCAACGCUUUGCCUUAAUUAAUUUUAGUUCAAUUGGUUAACUAUUUUAAAAUGGAUCUUAAAGGGUGCCUUAAAAACCUUCCCUUUAAAUUAAUUGAACCCUUACCUAAAAAUUUUAGGUUAAGUUGAUUGGUAACAGAGUUAUACUUUAAAUUACUUUAAUCACUUUAGGAGUCCUAAUUCACCGUAGAAUUAAUUAGGUGGCGACUCUUAACUUUAGUCAUACUCAGAAUUGCCUAUAUAUUGUACCUUAAUUUGACAUGUAUUAAAAUGGCCUAUAACAGGUACGCUUUCUUUUAAUUUUAACUGACUAUUUCUCUAAAUGCAUGGAAGCAGGUGCAUACGCCCAGAUACGCGAACAGGAGUUCAUCGCUUUAAUAUGAAAAAAUAUUAUAUGUCGUUUUGGCAUCUCCAAAGAAAUUAGCUGUGAUAAUGGGCCUCAGUUCGUCGGUAGGAAAACAACUGAGUUCUUCGAAAAAUGGCACAUCAAGCGGAUACUCUCCACUCCGUAUCAUCCCGCCUCCAACGGCCAAGCCGAGUCUUCCAACAAAACAAUAUUGAACAUAUUGAAAAAGAAGCUCGAGGAAGCUAAGGGGCUAUGACUCGAAUUACUACCUGAAGUACUAUGGGCAUACCGGACUACGCCCAAGUCCAGCACGGGAGAAACAUCAUACUCACUAGUCUACAGGACCGAUGCUGUCAUACCUAUCAAGGUCGGGGAGCCAAGCCUGAGAUAUUCCCAUGCCAACGGGUUAGAUAACAAUGAAAGUAGGUUGCAAAACCUAGGUGAAGUUGAAGAACGGAGAGACAUGGCCCAUAUAAGAAUGAUAGCCCAAAAAGAGCAGGCAGAAAGAUACUACAACAAGAAAACCAAAGUAAGAUCAGUCAAAACCGGUGACUACGUCCUCAAAGCCAAAACACUAGCAUCAAGAGACCCGAAUGAGGGAAAGUUGGGAAUCAACUGGGACGGACUGUAUAAAAUCAUAGCAGCCACAAAUAAAGGAGCGUUCCAACUAGAAACAAUGGAGGGAAAACCGCUCCAAAACAACUGGAACAUCGCCCAUCUCAAGUACUUCCACUUCUGAAAAGGAUCUCCUAAGUCAUACUCUUUUUUCCUCACCCGAGUUUUGCCCCAAUUAGGUUUUCUCGGGAAGGUUUCUAAUGAGGCGACAAAGAGGAUACCCUACGGAUCAGAAGGUACUUCAUCACAUCGGCCUGUCGUCACGAUCUCAAGACCGGUGUAAUGAAGGGACUACACUAGUUAAUCUCCAUCGUAUGAAUGGAUAUCUCCAUUGUAUGAACAGAAAUCUCCAUCGUAUGAAUGGAAAUCUCCAUUGUAUGAAUAGAAAUCUCCAUCGUAUGAACGUAAAUCUCUAUUGUAUGAACAGAAAUCUCCAUUGUAUGAACAUAAAUCUCCAUUAUACGAACGAAAGUCGAAUCUCCACUAAACGAACAUCCUAAUGGCCAAUGCCAUCGACAUUUGUUCGACUUUGUUCGAACUACGACAGAUACUACUUUGACGAUAGUCGAAGCAACAUCCUGAUGGCCACGACCAUCGACACUAGUUCGACUUUGUUCGAACUACGACGGAUACUACUUCGACGAAAGUCGAAGCAACAUCCUAAUGGCCAAGGCCAUCGGCAUCAGCUCGACUUUGCUCAAACUACGAUAAAUACUACUUUGAUGACAAUCGAAGCAACAUCCUAAUGGCCAAGGCCAUCGACAUUAGUUUGACCUUGCUAGAACUACGACGGAUACUAUUUCGACGACAAUCAAAGCAACAUCCUAAUGGCCAAGGCCAUUUACAUCAGUUCGACCUCGUUCGAACUACGAUCUACUUCGACGACAGUCGAAGCAAUAUCCUAAUGGCCAAGGCCAUCGGUAUCAGUUCGACCUUGCUCGAACUACGACGGAUACUACUUCGAUGACAAUCAAAAAAAUUUCCUAAUGGCCAAGGCCAUCGACAUCAGUUCGACUUGUUCAAACUACGACAGAUACUACUUCAAUGAAAGUCGAAGCAACAUCCUAAUGGCCAAGGCCAUCGACAUCAAUUCGACCUCGCUCAAACUAUGACGAAUACUACUUCGACGACAGUUAAAGCAACAUCCUAAUGGCCAAGGCCAUCGACAUCAGUUCGACUUUGUUGGAACUACGACGGAUACUACUUUGACGACAGUCGAAGCAACAUCCUAAUGGCCACGACCAUCGACACUAGUUCGACUUUGUUCGAACUACGACGGAUACUACUUCGAUGAUAAUCGAAGCAACAUCCUAAUGGCCAAGGCCAUCGACAUCAAUUCGACCUCGCUCAAACUAUGACGAAUACUACUUCGACGACAGUUAAAGCAACAUCCUAAUGGCCAAGGCCAUCGACAUCAGUUCGACUUUGUUGGAACUACGACGGAUACUACUUUGACGACAGUCGAAGCAACAUCCUAAUGGCCACGACCAUCGACACUAGUUCGACUUUGUUCGAACUACGACGGAUACUACUUCGAUGAUAAUCGAAGCAACAUCCUAAUGGCCAAGGCCAUCGACAUCAAUUCGACCUCGCUCAAACUAUGACGAAUACUACUUCUAUGACAGUUAAAGAAACAUCCUAAUGGCCAAGGCCAUCGACAUCAGUUCAACCUCGUUCGAAUUGCUACGGAUACUACUUUGAUGAUAAUCGAAGCAAUAUCCUAAUGGCCAAGGCCAUCGACAACAGUUCAACCUCAUUCAAACCACGACAAGACCUUUUUAGCAAGUAAUAAAAGCAAACUCUAUGGAGGCUAAGUAUCAUAAAAAAACCCAAAGAGGGAAAGGUGUAAAAUAAAUAAGGCGACAAAAACAAAGUUUAUAUUACAACAAAAAUUGUUUCCAUUCGUCCCUACGGAUGGGCUUUAGUACAACCCACAACCAAAAAAAUAUAUACAAACAAAAAUAUACGAAUUUAGAACUACUCAUCACCCCCUGUGGGAUAAACGUCUUCAUACCAUGAAUCUGAGUCAAGGGGAUUGACGUCCUCAGAAGCAGCACCCUGUUAUAAGGAGAAUUGGGGUAGUACCCACAUGAUUCGUGAGCUAUGCGAGCCUCGUUUCACCUCGCCUGAACUUCCUCCUCCGUCACCCAGCCCUCGAUAUGAAGAGCUAUAUACACAUCAAGUCGAGAUUCCGCAAAGACCCACAUCUUAUAUGUGCUACGAGGAGGACCUCGACCAGAUGAGAUGGGCCGAGAAAGGUGAUCCACUUCCUCUUACCUCGGCGGAGCGAUCUGCCUUUACAGCUCAGCCAACUUAUCGGCGCUAGCACUUAGCUCGUCCUUGAGUCCAUCAAUUUCCACCAUCCUAACACCAAGUUCGGCGGCCAAAUCAGCCACCUUUUGCUGCAAGUCGGUAUUCUCCGCCAUCACCUUCGACUCAAUUCGAGUUCAUCAUUCUUUGCCUUAAGGAGGGCCUCCAAUUCGUUGUUACCCUACGGAUCAGAACAUCAGCUCCCCAUCCGUAUUUUCCAGCUCCGCCCCUUUGCGUUCCAACUGGGCCUCCCUCUGUUUAAGUCCCUUAUGGAACACUUGAAAUUCAGGAUCUGCUGGUAGAGGUCAACCACCGCUUGGUGCUUAGCCCGGUAUUUUCGAUAUGUCUUCAACAUCUUUUUAUAGAGGUACAUCCUCUUCCGCUCACGACGGCCUCUCUCCACCUCCAAGAUGCGGGUCUGAGAAGAAAACAUAAGUAAGCACAUUCCUAGGUCAACCCUACAAUACGCAAAAAAAGGGGGUUAGGGAUAAAAAAACUACCUGUAAGGCCCUGCCGGCAACUCUCCGAGACAGCUCUGCAUCAAUCAUGGUUUUGAUCAUCUCGCUCUCAAGAGCCGCACAUAAUAGGGUAAGGGUUGGUGCAACCUGCUCACUAUUUAUCAGCAAGUUAUAAUCUCCCGGGAUCAUAAUGCGACAGUCAGACCCAUUCGUUGUCAUCUGCACAUAGGUGUGACCACCCAGGAACUCGUUAGUUGAUGAACCUCCCUCAACUGCACGUACCGAACUAGUACCGGGGGCGACACUCCUCUCCUGGGCCAACCUCCCCGAUUGAAAUGGCAUCAGCUAUGAACACAGGCCUUGGAAUCAUCCGGGGUGCCCCGCUUCCGUCAGUUUUAGUGGCCACCCCCUUUCCUAUCUCCAACCUUCUUUUUCUCUCCAAUGGCUCUUCACCAGCAGAAGAUUAAUCGAUGGGUUGCGAGGCCUGCUAACAAUGUCGAUUCCUCCAUAGUCGCAGUUGCGGACGUGGCCCCCCAUUGGGAAGUUAGAGGAUGACCCUCUCAGACAGUCUCGCACAGUAUAUCACGAGCAUCUGAGGCGACGUCAGGUCACAUAAAAGCAGGGACUGGCUCCCUCCUCCUAGAAGCACCAAGGCAUGUUACCAUAAAAUCACACAAGUAAGCAAGAUUGCAUAAAAUAUGAGACAAGAAUUUGAAGUCUACUUGAAGAGACUUUGGGGCUGUAGCUUUGCAUGAAGGCAGGCCAAGAAUGAAUCUCUUCCGCGUGAGGUAGUAGGCUGGUGACCUAGUUCCUGAAACCAAUGAUGGGCUAGGGCGGACGAGCCAUGGAUGUAAUACAAGAAUCAAAGGUGAAAUAAUAACAGAUAACGAGGAACUUAACAAAUGGCAACACUUACUUGACGGGUUCCACCUCUCCAGGAAUCUUGUGGAGUUAGAGACCACGUGCUCGGUCCUAACAAAGAAAUAUUUAUGUCAGAAUCCACGUCUUGCUCGCUAGUCAGUUCCGACAACUAAUCCCUUUGUACCAUGAAUUCUUAAAUACACCAUGGUCCCUCUUAGGAAACAUGCGGUAAACAAGUGUAAGAGAUGAUGAACCGAGACCUCACAUUCGGCCAACUCUGCGUAUUUGGUCAGCAGUAGAAGCACUUUAAGUGUAUACGGUGUGAGUUGAUUCGGGCAGAUGUUAUAGAACUGUAGAACUCCUUCGCCAAAGGAAAAAAAGGAAGGCCAUAGCCUGUCAUAAAUGGGUAUUCGUAGAAGGCACAAUACAAUGGCCUAUGAACGUCAAUAUGGUCUCCCCCGUUGGGAUCAUCUCUAUGUUGGUAGGGAUACCAUAUUUAGUGCAUAGGUCAUCUAAAUGGUUCUGUUCUGACUCGGAAAGCACUGGAACCGUAGUGGGAAAAUCCUUAUUAAAAUCACACCGAGACGAAGGAUGCCUCAGUAAUAAUGCGUCUACCGUAAGAGGACUGAUAUCGUAUUCUACCUCCACUUCUCCACCAUCAGAAGAGGGUGGUGCAUUCAACGGAACAACCACUGAAACCCUUUCAUUGUUAUGUCGAGGUUUAGGCAUGAUGUUUUUCUAGAGAGAGUUGCACACAAUGCAAUGAAGAAGAAGAAGAAAACCCUCGUUCAAAAGCAAAAGUACAGGAAUGUGAAAAUCUAAACUGAAGGGUUGGAAAACUCUUACAAAUGAUCAAAGUUUGAAUUAAGUUUAAUCCUUCCCCUAUUAAAAUGGUUGGGUGGCACCAAAAUUGAGGUGACAGACUUUAAAUCAGUGCGGGAAACCAAGGGCCAAAGCAUCAGUUUUCCUGCCUCGAGAAUAUGCCCAAUGAUGAUGCAUGUGAAUGAUGAUGUCAUCAAUGGAAAAGUAUUUUAUUUCGAUGUUCUAACAGUUAUGAUUACCGUCUACCAUCGACCACAUUAUAACCCUUUGACAAGUCAAAGCCUCCCUGAGCGGAGGCACCGGUUCCGCCCAUCGUGGACGCAUCUGGCUAUGACCCCAACGAGCGAAGGGACUAACUUUAUGGGGUUGUAUUUGACCGAUCACGUCCCUAAGUCAACGCGACCAACCACCGAAUAUCCAUGAGCCGAUACAAGGGGACGAACCAGGGACAAGAGGAGAAACGACCUCGCGCCAUCGUCGGUUCUGCUAUAGGACGUACUUUAGUUUUGUCAUUCCAACAAUUAAAUAAGGAUUUUCUAUUGUAUAAAGGGGAUCCGAGCCUUGUAAUAGGCAGACAAUUUUUAAUGUACAAACUCUCUUUCUCUCUCAUCUCUCUACUGCCUCUUCUCUUUCUUUUACUGUUAUCAUCCUAUCGAAUAUCCAGAUUAUCCUAAGGUUUAUUAUUCUCGAGUAAAAUUUACGCAUUCAUCUCUUUUGAUUGAUUUGCUCAAAAAGUAUUUAACAACUUUUGACUCAAACAAUUUGCAUUGAAAAUGUUAUUAACUUGGCCGUUAGCUUGACUUACAUCAUCAACUUUAUCCUCUUUCGUGCAACAGGUGAUAUCAUGCAUUCCAGGAAGUUGAAGGACAAAUUAACAAUUUGAUCAAAAUCCAACAAAAAUUGCUUUUACUCGUAAUCUAUGCUUCCAAUUUUCCAACAACUCCUGCAC